CCUACGGGUGACUGCAGUGGGGAAUAUUGGACAAUGGGGGGAACCCUGAUCCAGCGACGCCGCGUGAGUGAAGAAGUAUUUCGGUAUGUAAAGCUCUAUCAGCAGGGAAGAAAAUGACGGUACCUGAGUAAGAAGCCCCGGCUAACUACGUGCCAGCAGCCGCGGUAAUACGUAGGGGGCAAGCGUUAUCCGGAUUUACUGGGGGUAAAGGGAGCGUAGACGGCAGUGCAAGUCUGGAGUGAAAGGCGGGGGCUCAACCCCCGGACUGCUCUGGAAACUGUACGGCUGGAGUGCAGGAGAGGUAAGUGGAAUUCCUAGUGUAGCGGUGAAAUGCGUAGAUAUUAGGAGGAACACCAGUGGCGAAGGCGGCUUACUGGACUGUAACUGACGUUGAGGCUCGAAAGCGUGGGGAGCAAACAGGAUUAGAUACCCUAGUAGUC
This 440-nucleotide ribosomal RNA is filed under the name uncultured bacterium. Its description in RNAcentral is "partial 16S ribosomal RNA". It matches the Rfam family "Bacterial small subunit ribosomal RNA", at positions 338 to 795 of the family's 1533-position model. The record is from RNAcentral.